RNAcentral lists this unclassified non-coding RNA (314 nucleotides) under plant metagenome. RNAcentral describes it as "partial contains 5.8S ribosomal RNA, internal transcribed spacer 2, and large subunit ribosomal RNA". The stretch from base 1 to 105 matches the Rfam family "5.8S ribosomal RNA", at positions 50 to 154 of the family's 154-position model. The record is from RNAcentral.
GAAAUGCGAUAAUUAAUGUGAAUUGCAGAAUUCAGUGAAUCAUCGAGUCUUUGAACGCACAUUGCGCCCCCUGGUAUUCCGGGGGGUAUGCCCGUCCGAGCGUCAUUGCUGCCCUCAAGCACGGCUUGUGUGUUGGGCUUCCGUCCCUGGCAACGGGGACGGGCCCAAAAGGCAGUGGCGGCACCAUGUCUGGUCCUCGAGCGUAUGGGGCUUUGUCACCCGCUCCCGUAGGUCCAGCUGGCAGCUAGCCUCGCAACCAAUCUUUUUAACCAGGUUGACCUCGGAUCAGGUAGGGAUACCCGCUGAACUUAAGC